GUUCUCCUGGCGCAGCGCCCCGAGGGCAAGCAGCUUGCCGGGCUGUGGGAAUUUCCAGGCGGCAAGGUCGAGCCCGGUGAGACGCCGGAGGAGUGCC
RNAcentral lists this transfer RNA (97 nucleotides) under Mesorhizobium sp. J8. RNAcentral describes it as "tRNA-Gly". Lineage: Bacteria; Pseudomonadati; Pseudomonadota; Alphaproteobacteria; Hyphomicrobiales; Phyllobacteriaceae. The record is from RNAcentral.